RNAcentral lists this ribosomal RNA (522 nucleotides) under Janthinobacterium sp. BJB312. RNAcentral describes it as "bacterial LSU rRNA". It matches the Rfam family "Bacterial large subunit ribosomal RNA", at positions 220 to 783 of the family's 2925-position model. Lineage: Bacteria; Pseudomonadati; Pseudomonadota; Betaproteobacteria; Burkholderiales; Oxalobacteraceae. The record is from RNAcentral.
AGAAAUCAACCGAGAUUCCCAAAGUAGCGGCGAGCGAAAUGGGAAGAGCCUGUACGUGAUAGUCGGACCGAUAACAGAAUCCUCUGGAAAUAGGAGCCAUAGUGGGUGAUAGCCCCGUAUGUGAAAUCGGACCGGUGAUACUAAGCGUACGACAAGUAGGGCGGGACACGUGACAUCCUGUCUGAAUAUGGGGGGACCAUCCUCCAAGGCUAAAUACUCGUAAUCGACCGAUAGUGAACCAGUACCGUGAGGGAAAGGCGAAAAGAACCCCGGAAGGGGAGUGAAAUAGAUCCUGAAACCGUGUGCAUACAAACAGUAGGAGCGGACUUGUUCCGUGACUGCGUACCUUUUGUAUAAUGGGUCAGCGACUUACAUUCAGUGGCAAGGUUAACCGCAUAGGGAAGCCGUAGAGAAAUCGAGUCCGAAUAGGGCGAUCAGUCGCUGGGUGUAGACCCGAAACCAAGUGAUCUACUCAUGGCCAGGAUGAAGGUGCGGUAACACGCCCUGGAGGUCCGAACCCAC